UGCGGUGGCGGGGCGGUGAGGGUGGUGGCAACACUAGAAAGGGUACCCGAAUAAUGUAAGGUGGCACUUGCAGUUACAUUGUCUACAGCAAUGGGAGCGUCCAUGAAAGGGGCGGCUGCAACCAGGUAUUUGCCGGAGUUGCGGUCUGCAGUUAAAAGAACGUUCGUGGUUUGGCCUGGGGUUAUAAGGACUGUGUCAGUUUUGAAGGGUUUAACGUAGGCGGCAUCAACCUCAACAACUGUCAGCUGAUGACCAGCAAUCUUGAAGAAGAGCUCUUCAUUAAGUGCAGCAUUGAUUAUCCUAAGCAUGUAGGUCUUGCCGGAACGUACUGGUAAGGUAAAUCCCCCUGCAGUUCAAGCAAAAUAAGGAUUCAAUAAGUUUCCAACUAAACGAUAUAUAUAAUCUUGUGCUGGGUUUGAAACUCUGCAAAAAGUCUCAGUUUUGCUUAUUGGCGUUAAGAUGUUAUAUUCUAUUUGUUGGGGUUUUAAUUUGAACCUUGUGAAGGGCAGGUUGAGACAGGUCCUGGAUGGCCAUUAAUGGUGUGAGCAUCUGAGACAUUUGGUGCCAACCCAGAUUUCAUGGCUUCAUUGACCACAGCUUCAACAUCUGAUUUCCACCAUUCACCUACAACUCCAAAAAAUUUCAUAUCAUUAUCAUCU
Molecule: long non-coding RNA, 659 nt
Filed under: Manihot esculenta (cassava)
Lineage: Eukaryota; Viridiplantae; Streptophyta; Magnoliopsida; Malpighiales; Euphorbiaceae
Description: long non-coding RNA (MESC_LNC000564)
Source: RNAcentral